CCUACGGGAGGCAGCAGUGGGGAAUAUUGCACAAUGGGCGCAAGCCUGAUGCAGCGACGCCGCGUGAGGGAUGACGGCCUUCGGGUUGUAAACCUCUUUCAGUAGGGAAGAAGCGAAAGUGACGGUACCUGCAGAAGAAGCGCCGGCUAACUACGUGCCAGCAGCCGCGGUAAUACGUAGGGCGCAAGCGUUAUCCGGAAUUAUUGGGCGUAAAGAGCUCGUAGGCGGUUUGUCGCGUCUGCCGUGAAAGUCCGGGGCUCAACUCCGGAUCUGCGGUGGGUACGGGCAGACUAGAGUGAUGUAGGGGAGACUGGAAUUCCUGGUGUAGCGGUGAAAUGCGCAGAUAUCAGGAGGAACACCGAUGGCGAAGGCAGGUCUCUGGGCAUUAACUGACGCUGAGGAGCGAAAGCAUGGGGAGCGAACAGGAUUAGAUACCCUUG
RNAcentral lists this ribosomal RNA (440 nucleotides) under uncultured bacterium. Its description in RNAcentral is "bacterial SSU rRNA". It matches the Rfam family "Bacterial small subunit ribosomal RNA", at positions 338 to 790 of the family's 1533-position model. The record is from RNAcentral.